CCUACGGGGGGCUGCAGUAAGGGAUAUUGCACAAUGGGGGAAACCCUGAUGCAGCAACGCCGCGUGGGUGAAGAAGGCUUUCGAGUCGUAAAACCCUUUUCUAGGGGAAGAGGAAGGACAGUACCCUAGGAACAAGUCUCGGCUAACUACGUGCCAGCAGCCGCGGUAAGACGUAGGAGGCGAGCGUUAUCCGGAUUCAUUGGGCGUAAAGGGCAAGUAGGCGGUUGUCAAAGUUGGGCGUGACAUCUCCUGGCUCAACUAGGAGAGGUCGUUCAAAACUAGGCAACUAGAGGGCAGAAGAGGAAAGCGGAACUCCUGAUGUAGCGGUGGAAUGCUCAGAUAUCAGGAAGAACACCAGUGGCGAAGGCGGCUUUCUGGUCUGCACCUGACGCUGAGAGGCGAAGGCUAGGGUAGCGAACGGGCUUAGAUACCCGUGUAGUC
RNAcentral lists this ribosomal RNA (441 nucleotides) under uncultured Caldilineaceae bacterium. RNAcentral's name for it is "bacterial SSU rRNA". It matches the Rfam family "Bacterial small subunit ribosomal RNA", at positions 338 to 795 of the family's 1533-position model. The record is from RNAcentral. Lineage: Bacteria; Bacillati; Chloroflexota; Caldilineae; Caldilineales; Caldilineaceae.